CCUACGGGAGGCAGCAGUGAGGAAUAUUGGUCAAUGGGCUCACGCCUGAACCAGCCAAGUCGCGUGAGGGAAGACGGCCCUCUGGGUUGUAAACCUCUUUUGUCAGGGAGCAAUUGGCGCUACGUGUAGCGUUAUCGAGAGUACCUGAAGAAAAAGCAUCGGCGAACUCCGUGCCAGCAGCCGCGGUAAUAGGGAGGAUGCGAGCGUUAGCCGGAUUUAUUGGGUUUAAAGGGUGCGUAGGCGGAAUGCCAGGUCAGCGGGAAAAUCGCGGGGCUAAACCUCGCUCCGCCGUUGAAACUGGCGUUCUUGAGUGUGCGAGAGGUAUGCGGAAUGCGUGGUGUAGCGGUGAAAUGCAUAGAUAUCACGCAGAACUCCGAUUGCGAAGGCAGCAUACCGGAGCCCAACUGACGCUGAGGCGCGAAAGCGUGGGUAUCGAACAGGAUUAGAUACCCCAGUAGUC
RNAcentral lists this ribosomal RNA (460 nucleotides) under uncultured bacterium. RNAcentral describes it as "partial 16S ribosomal RNA". It matches the Rfam family "Bacterial small subunit ribosomal RNA", at positions 338 to 795 of the family's 1533-position model. The record is from RNAcentral.